This 425-nucleotide ribosomal RNA is filed under the name uncultured bacterium. Its description in RNAcentral is "partial 16S ribosomal RNA". It matches the Rfam family "Bacterial small subunit ribosomal RNA", at positions 354 to 796 of the family's 1533-position model. The record is from RNAcentral.
GUGGGGAAUCUUGCGCAAUGGGCGAAAGCCUGACGCAGCCAUGCCGCGUGAAUGAUGAAGGUCUUAGGAUUGUAAAAUUCUUUCACCGGGGACGAUAAUGACGGUACCCGGAGAAGAAGCUCCGGCUAACUUCGUGCCAGCAGCCGCGGUAAUACGAAGGGGGCUAGCGUUGCUCGGAAUUACUGGGCGUAAAGGGCGCGUAGGCGGACAGCUUAGUCAGAGGUGAAAGUCCAGGGCUCAACCUUGGAAUUGCCUUUGAUACUGGCUGUCUUGAGUUUGGGAGAGGUGAGUGGAACUCCGAGUGUAGAGGUGAAAUUCGUAGAUAUUCGGAAGAACACCAGUGGCGAAGGCGACUCACUGGCCCAAUACUGACGCUGAGGCGCGAAAGCGUGGGGAGCAAACAGGAUUAGAAACCCUUGUAGUCC